AGAGCACUAAAUGACCGACUUGCUGCUGUUUGGGACAAUUAAUGCAUUUUCUCCUGCUGCUGUGAGGAUCAUCGACCAUCACAGUAAGCUCUGCCCCACGAUGCUAACACAGACUGGUCAGUGGCUUUGGACAAAGGCUACUAUUUCAGGAGGCUAAGCUUAGUGACUGCUAAGCUUGCACUGCUGAGAAAACAAAUUGGAGUGGCAGCAGCCGAAACCCUCUCCAAGCAAGGUCCAGGCCCAGCAUCUUGCAGAAGUGAACUCAAUUGAGUAAAGAUUUAAAUAAAAGAAUCACAGUGAUAUUGCUUUGGAUACAAGCAACCUAUUCACUGUAGGAGUACUAUGGCUACGAAACAUCGAUUUCAUCAUG
Non-coding RNA from Coturnix japonica (Japanese quail), 370 nucleotides. The record is from RefSeq and is a predicted model, not a curated record. NCBI's taxonomy places the organism in Eukaryota, Metazoa, Chordata, Aves, Galliformes, Phasianidae.